CCGACGUAAAAGUAUAACAUAAUUAUUAAUAGAUUAUAGUUAUAAUCUGAAUCCUACGGUAUUGUAAUCCGCUAAACAGCCAUGUAUAAAUAGAGUAACUUUCCGAGUGAUUUCAUUUCACUUUCAAAACAUUUGUAAAGUAAUAAAAGUUGUUUUAAUAACAUGUGCCGUUGUGAGAGUUUCCAUCACGUUUCAGCACGGCAGGUCUAAUGACGGCGAUGCUAUCAGCUCAUUCCGAAGGAAGAAAUUCUGAAACAUCAAAUACUAAGGCUUACACGGGUAACCCCCUAUAACGCGGUAAUGUGGUUCCGCGUUAAAGGACAACGCGUUAAUGAGCGUAUAGUUUCCAUAUAAUGUGUAUUUACGGCCUC
Molecule: long non-coding RNA, 371 nt
Organism: Leptidea sinapis
Lineage: Eukaryota; Metazoa; Arthropoda; Insecta; Lepidoptera; Pieridae
Exons: 3
Source: RefSeq, a predicted model, not a curated record